RNAcentral lists this unclassified non-coding RNA (201 nucleotides) under Hevea brasiliensis (rubber tree). Lineage: Eukaryota; Viridiplantae; Streptophyta; Magnoliopsida; Malpighiales; Euphorbiaceae. The record is from RNAcentral.
GGAAAUUGCUCCAACAUAAUCUAGGCCCCGAAGUGGUCGGUGCACUAAAAGAUCUCAAGAAAAAGCUGACAGAAGAGGAGUCUUCGUAGCGGAAGGUACGGUGGACAACAAAAAAUGUUUUACCAAAGUUGGGAUGAUUUUUCAAUCGUGUCGCAGGAAUUUGAACUUCUACCUUAGUUGAUUAACCAAUCUGCAAAAGAA